UCCUCGGUAGCUCAGUCGGUAGAGCAAGUGGCUGUUAACCACUCGGUCGGCGGUUCGAGUCCGUCCCGAGGAGCCA
Molecule: transfer RNA, 76 nt
Filed under: Holosporales bacterium
Lineage: Bacteria; Pseudomonadati; Pseudomonadota; Alphaproteobacteria; Holosporales
Description: tRNA-Asn
Rfam family: tRNA
About the family: Transfer RNA (tRNA) molecules are approximately 80 nucleotides in length. Their secondary structure includes four short double-helical elements and three loops (D, anti-codon, and T loops). Further hydrogen bonds mediate the characteristic L-shaped molecular structure. tRNAs have two regions of fundamental functional importance: the anti-codon, which is responsible for specific mRNA codon recognition, and the 3' end, to which the tRNAs corresponding amino acid is attached (by aminoacyl-tRNA synthetases). tRNAs cope with the degeneracy of the genetic code in two manners: having more than one tRNA (with a specific anti-codon) for a particular amino acid; and 'wobble' base-pairing, i.e. permitting non-standard base-pairing at the 3rd anti-codon position.
Source: RNAcentral